Molecule: long non-coding RNA, 4293 nt
Filed under: Canis lupus familiaris (dog)
Lineage: Eukaryota; Metazoa; Chordata; Mammalia; Carnivora; Canidae
Description: lncRNA (ENSCAFG00845003849.1)
Source: RNAcentral
AUGGAGGCGCGGCCCGCGGGCGUGUGGAAGCGGCGGGAGGCCGGGAGCCGGGCGGGCCCGGAAGGUUGCGGAGAAGACGGCGGCUGCCGCGGGCCCGGGGGAAAGAAUUCUCCGGCGGUUUUAAGUUUUUAUGUAAUUUUUCUCAUGAAACGUGCACACACCCGUCCGUCCGCCCGUCCGCCCGCCCGCGCUCGCAUCCUGGCACGUGCGUACAUCCCGCGGCUCCGGCGGCGCUGCUCCUUCUGGAAGGCGACCCCUGCGCAGACCCGCAGGUACCCCGGCCUGAACCAGGGCGGCCCCUGCACGCAGUCUCGGCCCCCCGGGCGCCCGGCGCCGUCCUCGGCGUUUCGAUGGAGCGCGUGGUGCCCAGGCCCCCUCCUCGCCCCCUCGCCUUCUGUCUCCUCGCCUGGCGGACGCGAGCUGCAGCUUAGAAGGCGCCCCGACGACCAGACAACGACGAGACGACGACGGGGACGACGACGACGCACCCUGAGUCACCGGGAGCCGGACCGAGCCUGGAGCUCCUCCAGGAGGCGGUGGGAAGGGCAGCUCUUGGCAGAAGCGAUCCUCACCUGCAUGGCGGGGUUUCCCAAGAAGCGGAGGAAUAUUGAGGUGGAGAGUUUCACUUUCCUUCAGCGAUAAACAGAAAUAAUCCGCUUGAUUGCAGAGGAGUUAAAUGUCAAAGGGAGACUUAAUCCCAAUUAGCUUAUCUCCUUACCCUUUACCAGAGUGCAAAGCAGGAAAUUACCAUUUCCCUUCCUGCUGGGAAAUGACAGUCACCUAACAGAUACACCACACCUUUGUAUCACUGGAAACCAAUUUCGUCUUUAAAAAAUGACUAAUCUGUAAGAAAAAUGUUGACUUUUUUUUUAAACCAAAGUAUCUUUUUUUUAAAAAAAGUUAUUAUAUGCAAAAUCCCUAGACAAAUAGCACUGCCUGGAGGCACUUGAGAUAAAUUUAGAUCAGACACGAAAGUAUCUCUAUUUUUUUUUUCUCCUCUUCACAGUGGCUGGUUUCCUCCACUACUGCCAGCAUGGCAGCCACAUUCUCACGCCUCUCCUUCGCAUGAGCUGCACAUUUGCUAGAGGCCGUUUCGAUGUAGGGCAAACAACAGAUGUUCAAUAAAUACCUAAUUCCGUGGUUUUUGUACAGUGAGCCAGUGUUCCCUGGGGGUUCUCGAAAUUCUUUCAGAGGAUCAGUAAAAGUAUUAUGAAAAAGUUUCAUAAGAGAGUAAAGUAUUAUGAAAACGUUUCAUGAGUUUUUUGACUCUCUGUGAUCUCAUGAUCUCAGUAUUUCAAAUAUAGGAAAUAUCAGUAGAUAUAAUCUGUAUAACCAAAGCUUGGUGAAGUCCUUAGUAACUUUUAAGACUGAAGGGAUGCUGAGACCAAAAAUAUUGAAAAUUACUGCCCUAAAUGAUUGGUGAAUGAAACAUACAACUUGACCAAGAUGUGCUAAUAUAUAUGUAAUAUAAGCUACGCGAUACCUAAUGCCCAUCUAUGAGAAUGCCUUAAACCCCGAUGUUCUGAGAUACAGAAUAUGAAUCAGUGUUACUCUCAGACCCUGAGAGGGCUAGUGGGGCCAGGGCAGCUCUCUGGUUUUGCGAUCCAAUUCACUUGCAGAUCCAUUGGGAUCAGUGGUUUGUUGAGUUCAGUUAGUACUAGAUAGAUGGCUGACUUUGGGCUAGGACAAAUGAUAAAUCAAGAAUGUUUAAAUUGUUAAUAUGAGAUCCAUCAGUCUGGGUGUUUAGAAUCAGUUUUAGCUAUUUUCAGCUGUAUGCAGAUUUAUUAGAGAACAUUAGUAAUCUUUCCAAAAUUUUUCUUUGUGGCUGAGAACAGUGUCUGGAUCAUCUCAAGGCACUUGUAUGGCAGCACUGGCCCCGGGUUGCUGGGUAUCCCUGGUACCUCUGAAGGCUGGUCGUCUUGGCCACUACCUCCCUGGAACAGAUUACACACAGUGCCUCCUCCAUACCAACGGCUUAUAAUUCAUAUUGUCCUGAGGGUACAUCCAGUUGGGAACAGGCUAAGGAUCACUCCUAUACCCAAGUCACAAAGGAAGCCAAGAGAGUGAGGUUCUGAGUUCUAUGUUGGGGAUGCAGGAAUUUUAAGUGGGAAAUUCUCCAAACAUAGAGUGUUCACAAGGUAUUUGGUAUCAAAAAGUAGGUCUUCCCAUAAUCUUCCGCUUGGCUGUCCAACACAUACCAUUAGUCUAUACGUUAAAUAUCAACAAUAAUACAAUAUUAACCUUCAUACAAAUAAAAGCAUAUAUACCCUCCCCAUAGGAGAAACAGUUCUCUAUCAGUUAAAAAAUGAUAUCAGGAUUAAGUAACAGAAAACCCCAAUAACCAUGGUCUUAACAGAUGGAGGAGCCUUAUUUUUUUUUUUUUUAAUACAUUAAGAAGUCUAGAGGUAGGCAGUUUUUCACAUUGGUUCAGUUUUUCAGUAAUAUUGUAAAGGACAUAGGGUUUUCUUCUAGUUUCCUUUUUCAUUUUUAUGAGAUUUUGUAAAAGAUAUUAAAGUUAGUUCCUCAUAUCUUAUUUUGUGGUCAGGAUGGUUACCAACAGCUGUAGACAUCACACCUCAUCAGACCUUUCCAAGAAGGAAAAAAAUGGAAAGAGAAAAUUAUUUCUCCAUAUGAACUUUGUUCUUUUAACUGGAAAAACCCCCAACUACCAGCCAAGUAUCCCUGGGCAGACCUGGCUCACAUUGCUACCAUUUGGCAAGUCACUGAUAAAGAGGAAUGAUUAACUUAGAUCAAACAUGGUGUAGCCCCUAGGGCUAGGGAAAGAGCAAUGGACACAAUCUAAACAUGAAGCUGGGAUGCUGUUAGAAGGAAAGAAAUGGCAGGCAUUGCUGUUACAGUGGCAGUGGACACUGUCUUUUGGUUCAUAAUACCAAAAAAAAAAAAAAAAAAAAACCUCUUACACUAUUCAUCGUUUACUGGAGAUUAUUUUUACUGAGUUAUUGGUUAAAUAUUAUUUAAACAAAAUAUAUUUGUUUUGUGUAUAAUUUAGCAGUUGGUCAGAUAUUUUAGUAUGAUAUGAAAGUGCAUAGAUGCUGAGGAAUUAAAAUUGUCCAAAUAGUCCAGUUUUUUUCUGCCUUGUGAGCCUGUCUCACCAUCUCUGAGUAGCUAUGAGUGGUAAACACAAUACUUCUUGAGUUGGUAGCAGUACAGCUCUUAGAAAAGAAUCUAGAAGGGAAGAUUUAAAGCUAUAGAUGACAUUUAUGACAAAGUCUCUUGUAUGAAUGUGACCUUGCUGUUUUAUAUAAAUUUGCUCUUUUUAGAAACUACGCUCCAUGCCAAGCAUGGAGCCCAAUGCUGCGCUUGAACUCAUGACCCUGAGAUCAGAAGUCAGAUGCUUUAUCGACUGAACCACUCAGCUGCUCCUAUAACCUUCUUUUUAGUAGCCUCCUAAAUUAUAGGCUUUCUCCAGUUUAAGUGCUGGUGUCACAUGAUUUCAUUGCUCUCAGUUGCCCUAUUCCCCUCAGGUCCUUACUCAACUGAUUAAGUCAGUAUGAAAAUAGUAGCUUCUUGGAUAAUUGGAGUUUCUUUUUAAAAUUUUUUUUUAAGGUUUGUUUUUAUUUAUGAUAAACAUAGAGAGGCAGAGACACAGGCAGAGGGAGAAGCCAGGAUCCACGCCAGGAGCCCGACGCGCGAAGCCGCUGAGCCACCCAGGGAUCCCCUGGAGUUUCUUUUUUCUUUUUUUUUUAAUUUUAUUUUAUUUUUAAUUUUUAUUUAUUUAUGAUAGUCACAGAGAGAGAGAGAGGCGCAGAGACACAGGCAGAGGGAGAAGCAGGCUCCAUGCACCGGGAACCUGAUGUGGGAUUCGAUCCCGGGUCUCCAGGAUCGUGCCCUGGGCCAAAGGCAGGCGCCAAACCGCUGCGCCACCCAGGGAUCCCUGGAGUUUCUUUUUUAAAGCUUUGUCAAUGUAUAAUUGCACACAUGUAGUAUAUAUAGCUUGAUGAGUUUGAACAUGUGCCAUGAUACCCAGGAUAGCAUCGCCACAACCAUGGCGGGGUCAGAGUGCCCUCUGCUGAUCCCUGGAGUCCCAUGCUCAUUCAGCACAGGAAAGUAAAGUCACUCAGAUCUAGUCCGGGUGUGUGGGCAAAGUGCUGAGGAGUCCCUCUUUUCAGCACCUCAUCUGUCAAUAGCAACACCCUGUGAAAGUUCAAGAUUCAAAGGGUGUUUCAGUCAAGUGAUGGUACGCACAGUUAGGUACAUCUCUCUUUCUCAUCUAAAAAUAUUAAAUGAUCUAAUGUUAGAAAAAAGGUGUUAGGGAAGGCUUAGAAUAUUUUC